UUGGUGUUGAUAGUAACUGGAUUUUUCUUUCUCCUUCAUUUCAUGUGAACAACUACCCAACUGUUUAGCUGAAGUUAACAUUAUUUAAGCAAAGAAAAUAUUUCAGUUUUCUGACAGAAUUUGCCUUCCUGGCAGGUCAUUGUGGUCAAUUACGGCUCCAGAGUCAAGUUGGGAUUUUGUUGUCAUUUUGUCUGCAGACACUUGGCUGGAAAAUCGAUUGGUUGCAGCAUUCUCUAGUCAGCUAAACUGUGCGUUCAACCUUUUCUCUAGAAGUUAGAUGAAAAUUGGUGGGGCCUCUUUCUUUUUACCUUAAACGAUGUGGUAAUGGGAGAAUGAUCUGAUCAUUUCUGCCACUGCCAAGCUGGUUCAUGAGCCGAGAGAAUGACAGCUAACACUCACUCCCUAAGUGUAACUGCUUUUUUUUUUUCCUCCUAACAUACAAAUGGAAUGUUCAAAACUUGACUGGAUUGUAAUAAGUUCCUGUAGAGAGACUGAGGCUGGCAGGGUUAAGGCUUAGGGGAAAUUUUGGAAAGUUGGUUAUAUUUUCAUUAAAGUAGGAGACAUUGUCAGAUGGUACUAAAGAAAGUGUGAAAACCUCAGGAAAUGGAUGGACAAUAAUUCAAAAUUGUUGAUGUGGGUAAGAAGGGAAGUUGUGAAAACUCAGCACUAACUUUGUUCUUGUUUCUCUGUAACAACUCUGAACUGACACACGAGUCUUUAUUGCUAAAACACUCUGAAGCUCUCUGCUUGGUGAGGCCCCACAGAGGACAUGUUGAAUGUAUUCCUGCUUCCAAACCUCUCUUAUUUCGGUUUGUGAUGCAGACAGGGCUUUGGGGCUGUCUAUUUAAUGUACAUGAGGUCAACUCAAGGACAGCCAUUCCCGGAGACAAUACAGUAGAGAUAAGAUGGAAGAUGAUAGUUUAGCUAAUGGGGCCUUUACCUUGAGUUUAGGAAAUAGACUUUGUUUAAAUUAUAUUUAUAUCAUAACUUAAAUAAGAUUGGGAUGUUUUUAGUAGUUCCAAGUUUAUAGGACAAAAGGGUUUAUGUUACAAUCAGGUCUUGAAGAAGAGCUCACAGAGAAGACUACCGAAUAUCCAACAGUCAAGCUUAUGAAGCAGCUACUAGUACAAUAAAAAUCUGAAGUAAAAUGAGACCUCGUGCGUAAACCAGAUGCAUCUGUGUCCUUCUUUCAACCAUCUGAGUUCUUUGCUUUUUGGCAAAAAAAUAAAAAAGAAAGAGAAUGUGAAAACUGUUUUUUCUUGCCUACUUGCCUACUAGUGGCUCUCUUGCAAUAUUUCCACGGAAGGAAUCCAAUUACUAGUUAAGACACAGCUAUUGGACGCCCACGGACUUCUCACCUUCUUCUUCUUCUAGUCCAUGCACCAUCAAUAGCUGACCGAUCAAGUUCAAUUCUUUCAUUGCCUGAGAAGAAAGCGUCCGUGAGCAGUCAGAACCUUGCUCACGGAGCCCUGACCUACCCACAACUCCCAGCUGGGCUGAGCGAACCCCGGCUCCACCUUGACCUGCUUAAGGCCUCUCGCAGAGGACGUGGAGCGUGUCCCGCAACACAGUCUACAGACAGCGCUUCCUACAAACAGACUCGUUUUGUAACCUUUUCUCGUGUUGAUUCAGAUCUGCUCACUGAUUUGAAAACUGGUUAUGAGCUUGUAUCUCACUGUAUUUCUUAUGCUUUGUUCUUUUAAGCAAACCCUUAAAAUUGUGCUGUUUUGUGUACACAGGUGAGAUUUGGGAAAAAAAACCAUCUUGUGAGUUUUUGCUCAAAAUGUGGCCUAAAUAGCCAUUGGCAUGUCUAGAUAAAC
RNAcentral lists this long non-coding RNA (1820 nucleotides) under Equus caballus (horse). Its description in RNAcentral is "lncRNA (ENSECAG00000045451.1)". Lineage: Eukaryota; Metazoa; Chordata; Mammalia; Perissodactyla; Equidae. The record is from RNAcentral.